UCAGCCAGAAAGUUCAAUGGA
RNAcentral lists this non-coding RNA (21 nucleotides) under Caenorhabditis elegans. Lineage: Eukaryota; Metazoa; Nematoda; Chromadorea; Rhabditida; Rhabditidae. The record is from RNAcentral.